This 473-nucleotide ribosomal RNA is filed under the name uncultured bacterium. Its description in RNAcentral is "bacterial SSU rRNA". It matches the Rfam family "Bacterial small subunit ribosomal RNA", at positions 29 to 521 of the family's 1533-position model. The record is from RNAcentral.
AGUGAACGCUGGCGGCGUGGUUAAGACAUGCAAGUCGAGCGACCCAUUCUUCGGAAUGGGGAGCGGCGAACGGGUGCGUAACACGUGAGUGACCUGCCUUUAAGUGGGGGAUAACCCGUCGAAAGACGGAUUAAUACCGCAUGUGGUCCUAUAUUUAAAUAUAUGGGUACUAAAGCUUGUGAAGGCGCUUAAAGAGGGGCUCGCGGCCUAUCAGCUAGUUGGUGAGGUAAUGGCUCACCAAGGCUAAGACGGGUAGCCGGUCUGAGAGGAUGAUCGGCCACACUGGAACUGAGACACGGCCCAGACUCUUACGGGAGGCAGCAGUGGGGAAUCUUGGACAAUGGGGGAAACCCUGAUCCAGCCAUGCCGCGUGAGUGAUGAAGGCCUUAGGGUCGUAAAACUCUUUCGCUGGGGAAGAUAAUGACGGUACCCAGUAAAGAAACCCCGGCUAACUCCGUGCCAGCAGCCGCGGU